This 258-nucleotide long non-coding RNA is filed under the name Ovis aries (sheep). RNAcentral's name for it is "lncRNA (ENSOARG00000025664.1)". The record is from RNAcentral. Lineage: Eukaryota; Metazoa; Chordata; Mammalia; Artiodactyla; Bovidae.
UGAGAAGGCAAAUGAACCAAAUGUGAAGCUGAUGAGUGAGUUCUACACCUAUCCCUGAACUGUGAAAUGUUCACAACAGUACAAGAGAAUGGUCUUUGUCAUCAAGCAUACUAGGCUUCUUAUUUUCAAUUUGGAUUUGCCCUGGCAAAUCAAAGAUUUCUUAGGCUGCUGAGCUUCUGCUGAGAUUCAGCUUUGCCAGAGGAUUUCCAUGCUGCCUCUAACCUCCAGCAUUUCUACCUUCAGGUGGUAACAUUAACU